AUACGAUGACACAUGAGAAAACCCAAAUCUUAUUGGGGACAUCAAUGUGUACUGUGUAGUACACAUGAAUUACUGUACAUCAACUCCUCCUCCGGACGCUAAUUAUCACUCCUUUUUUUAAUCAAAGAUUACACAUUUCAUCACUUUUUUAGCAGUUUAGGCCUCCCUCUUACUCAUCCACAUUGCUAAUGAUUUGACAUAAAGCAAGCAUACUCAUCAUAUUACCUAGGCAAGGUAUCCGUAUUCCUUUUUCCUUGGAAUUAGGAAAUGACUAUGAUUUUUCCACAAUUGCGGUCA
This 297-nucleotide unclassified non-coding RNA is filed under the name Hevea brasiliensis (rubber tree). The record is from RNAcentral. Lineage: Eukaryota; Viridiplantae; Streptophyta; Magnoliopsida; Malpighiales; Euphorbiaceae.